UAACCCGUUUGACCAGUGGAGGCCUCCGGAGCUAGCCGCAGCGCCUCAUCCCGCCAAGUGCCUCAGACCACCACGAACCAUCUCUAGGCGGCCGCCACGCUCUCGAAUUUGACUGACCACUGCUCCGAGAUUGGGUUGUAAUAUUGCCACAAUUUGGGUUCAAAGCCUAGAUAUUACCCUCCAAAAUUUAGAUAUUGAACUAUUUAUAAUACCAGAAUCGUUGUUAGCGUUUCCUGUCUGGGCGAGAUGCUAUCUAUAAGAAAGAUUAAGCACCAGAUUACUGUGAAUUCCUCUUCUGCUUUAUAUCUCUUACUUGCUGCCAGCAAUAGCAACAUGAAUCGAGUAUUCAGAUACAAAUUUCAUGCUUAUUGGGGUUGCUAUUCUCUCUGCCAAUUUGUUAGCUCCUCUUUGACCUGCUUGGACUCUCACACUGUUGUCUUGGGAUUACUGAAUAGCUUUACCCUUCAGCCCAAGUAUUCAUCAACAAUGGCUGGAAGAAUUUUGGUCCAGGCUCGAGACCCAGCUAAACUAACUAUGGAUAUGCAAAAUGCAAUGGAUGAGGGUAGAUUUAAUGACACAUGGAAAUUAUAUGAACAGCAUAUGCAGAUGGAGGGUUUCCCUCGGAAAUCUGUGGUGAACAAGCUUCUAACAAGUUUUGCAGAAAGCCUUGAUGUUCAAUGGCUUGAAAAGGCUUAUGGAUUAGUAGAACAGGCUUUCGAGGAAGGUAAACAGACCUUAUUUGAAAAGGAUCCACUUGUAUAUCUCUCUUAUGGUCUUGCAAAAUCUGGAUUACCAGUUCCUGCAUCAACAAUUUUAAGAAAGUUGGUAGAAAUGGAAGAGUAUCCCCCUGUUUCUGCUUGGUCUGCAAUUUUGGCCUUCAUGUCACAAACAGCUGCUGGUGCUUACCUUGCUGCUGAGAUAAUUCUUGAGAUGGGUUACUUGUUUCAAGAUGGGAGGGUGGAUCCGCGUAAAAAGAGUAAUGCACCUUUGAUUGCUAUGAAACCUAACACCACUGCUGUCAACAUUGCUCUGGCAGGGUGUCUUUUGUUUGGUACAACUAGGAAAGCAGAGCAACUCCUUGACAUGAUACCUCGAAUUGGUGUCAAAUAUGAGACAAACUUAUUGAUCAUUAUGGCCCAUAUAUAUGAGAGAAAUGGACGAAAAGAAGAGCUGAAGAAACUUCAAAGAUAUAUUGAUGAAGCUCAUAACCUAAGUGAUAUUCAGUUUCGGCAGUUCUACAAUUGUUUGAUUACAUGCCACUUAAAAUUUGGUGAUCUAGAUUCUGCAUCCAACAUGGUUUUGGACAUGCUCCGAAAAGCAAAAGAAGCCAGAAAUUCUCUUGCUGCAGCCACACUCUUAUAUGAUACUGCUUCAAGUGGGAAAAAAUCUCCACCUGCUGAGGCUUCUGGGCAAAGUCUGAGUCAGAAGCGAUCAGAGGGUUCAGAGAAUAAUAGAUUAAUUAGAUAUGAAGAGUUUUCUAGGGACAGGAAUUUCCUAAAACUUGAAGCUGAAGCGAAGCAAAUGCUUGGUACGUUGUUGUCUAAGUUGCAAAUGCAAGUUGAAUUGCUUACAACCGAAUGUGGAGUUCUUCAACCAACUGAAAGAAUUUAUGUGAAACUGGUAAAGGCUUUUCUAGAAGUUGACAAGACCAAGGAUUUGGCAAAAUUCCUCAUCAAGGCUGAGAAAGAAAAUUCCCCAGUUUCCAGUGAUAGCUCAGCCUUGGUUCAUGUUAUUAAUUCAUGCAUUUCACUUGGGUGGUUAGAUCAGGCACAUGACCUUCUUGACGAGAUUCGUUUUGCUGGGAUAAGAACUAGCUCUUCCAUAUAUUCCUCUCUCUUGAAAGCAUAUUGCAAGGCAAACCGAGCAGGAGAGGUGGCAUCACUUUUACGAGAUGCUCGUAAGGCUGGCAUCCAGCUAGAUUCCAGCUGUUAUGAGGCGCUUAUGCAAUCCAAAGUGCUUCAGAAAGAUACACAGGGUGCCCUCCAUCUAUUCCAAGAGAUGAAAGAGGCUAAAAUACCACGAGCUGGCCAUCAAGAGUUUGAGAUGCUAGUUAAGGGAUGUGAGGAGGGUGGUGAGGGAGGGUUGAUGGCGAAGCUCUUGCAGGAAAUUAAGGGCGGGCAGAGAAUUGAUAGCGGAGUGCAUGAUUGGAACAAUGUAAUCCACUUUUUUUGCAAGAAGAGAUUGAUGCAAGAUGCUGAGAAGGCUUUGAUGAAGAUGAGGAGUCUGGGGCAUCCCCCCAAUGCUCAAACUUUUCAUUCCAUGGCUACUGGGUAUGCAGCUAUUGGGGGAAAAUAUGUGGAGGUGACAGAGUUGUGGGGUGAGAUGAAGAGUCUUGCCUCUUCUACAUCAAUGAAGUUUGAUCAAGAACUUCUGGAUUCUGUGCUAUAUACGUUUGUUAGGGGUGCAUUUUUUGUUCGAGCAAAUGAAGUUGUGGAGAUGAUGGAAAAAGGAAACAUGUUUGUUGACAAGUACAAAUACCGAACUCUCUUCUUGAAGUACCAUAAAACACUUUAUAAGGGCAAGGCUCCUAAAUUCCAGACAGAAGCUCAACUGAAAAAGAGAGAAGCAGCAUUGACUUUUAAGAAGUGGGUGGGCUUGUGCUGAGGAAAUUCUUGGUCUAUUACACGCCUUGUUUUGGACAAUAAUCUGGUGAUUGUUGACUCAUUCAUUUGUGCUUGAAGUUAAGAGGCAUUUCAAGAAUGGCACUUACAACUAGGAACCACCCAAACGCACACCAAGAUGAAUCCCUUGAUGUGUGCAAUGAGGAUCAUAGGAGGGCUCUGGGGGAUUCUGAAGCCCUUGCACGUGGCGACAAGCCUAACUGUGGAUGUUGGACACAUUUGGGAAGUAAUUUUGAUCAGUUCUGCCACCUGCAUCCCCCAAUGUUCAAUGGCAAAGCUGAUGUUAUGGAGUGCGAUAACUGGAUGAACAGGUUGGAGAAGAUUUUUCGGACCAUCGACUGAACCAAGGAGCAGAAGGUUGAAUUUGCCACAUUCAAUCUGGCUGAUGUGCUGAUGAGUGGUGGACCUCCACCAGAAAGCUGAUAAAGCAAGAGCUUGGUGAAGAAACCCCAAUUACCUGGACAUGAUUUAAGCAGGUAUUCAGGGACCAAUUCUUCCUGAGGUCUUUAGAGAGGUCAAGGCCCAAGAGUUGGCAGAUUUGAGACAAAAGCAUAUGUCAGUACAACAAUAUGCAUCCUGGUUCAUCGAGCUUUCACGCUCUGCACCCCCAUAUCUGAUCCCAGAUUUGUCCCUGAAGGCUCAGAAAUUUGAGAGAGGACUGCAUCCACGAAUCCUUGAUAGAUUAAUUGCACUGAAGUUAAGGAAUUUUCAUGAAUUAGUGGACAGGGCAAUUAUCUUAGAGGAGUAUCUGCAGUCGAGGGUGGAACAAUUUAAUAAGAGAAAACGUGAGCAACAGAUUACUUAGCAAAGCUGAAGCAACAAGCCCUUCCAGAGCAGUGGACAGAGGCCACCACAGAACAAUAGGCCACAACAGAAUGCUACUGGACAACGUUCCACGUGUCAGACUUGCAGCAAGAUGCACUUGGAGAGUGCUUGAAGGGAACCAACACAUGCUUCAAGUGUGGGAAACCAGAACAUCUUAUUCGAGAUUGUUCACAGAUAUGUACACCCCCCAUUAAUGAAUGGUGAGCAGAACAGUGCUCCAGAUCAGGCUUUUCUCCUCACUCCUCACGAUGCCAAGAUGACGGAUGUUGUGGUUGAAGAUGUUGUGGAGAAGAAAUCCCAUCUGUGACAGACCACCUUACCCAGCAAGAGAAAUCCAUUAAAGGAAAGUGUCAAAGGCCAUCUCAAAAUCGGUGGGAUUUGGAAAGGAAUUGGGGAAGAUGACCUACUUGCCAUAGAAUCUGUGGUAAGAAUUUUGCUCUAAAUCACAUUUAAUAUUGUCCGAGCAGUCAAGUGUGGACAGACAAUCUGAGUU
RNA transcript from Juglans microcarpa x Juglans regia, 3939 nucleotides. It is a transcript of the gene named pentatricopeptide repeat-containing protein At1g03100, mitochondrial, with no coding region annotated. The transcript is spliced from 6 exons. The record is from RefSeq and is a predicted model, not a curated record. NCBI's taxonomy places the organism in Eukaryota, Viridiplantae, Streptophyta, Magnoliopsida, Fagales, Juglandaceae.